Molecule: ribosomal RNA, 440 nt
Filed under: uncultured bacterium
Lineage: Bacteria
Description: partial 16S ribosomal RNA
Rfam family: Bacterial small subunit ribosomal RNA
Source: RNAcentral
CCUACGGGAGGCAGCAGUGGGGGAUAUUGCACAAUGGGGGGAACCCUGAUGCAGCGACGCCGCGUGGGUGAAGAAGCGCCUCGGCGCGUAAAGUCCUGUUAGUAGGGAAGAAAAUGACGGUAUCUGAAGAAGAAGCACCGGCUAACUACGUGCCAGCAGCCGCGGUAAUACGUAGGGGGCAAGCGUUAUUCGGAUUUACUGGGUGUAAAGGGGGCGUAGGCGGCGAUGCAAGCCAGGAGUGAAAGCCUGGGGCCGAACCCCGGGACUGCUCUUGGAACUGCGUGGCUGGAGUGUAGGAGGGGCAUGCGGAAUUCCUGGUGUAGCGGUGAAAUGCGUAGAGAUCAGGAGGAACACCGGUGGCGAAGGCGACCUGCUGGACUGCAACGGACGUUGAGGCCCGAAAGCAUGGGGAGCAAACAGGAUUAGAUACCCUAGUAGUC